UUAACUCAUAUUUGUAUGGAAUGGGAUCGUUUGCCUAUGUUUGCCGUUAGGGGCGCUGUUCCAACUGCAUACAAAAUUGGGUUA
This 84-nucleotide microRNA precursor is filed under the name Bombyx mori (domestic silkworm). RNAcentral's name for it is "mir-2807 microRNA precursor family". It matches the Rfam family "mir-2807 microRNA precursor family". The record is from Rfam by way of RNAcentral. Lineage: Eukaryota; Metazoa; Arthropoda; Insecta; Lepidoptera; Bombycidae.